CAGCCGCCGCGGUAAUACCGGCGGCCCGAGUGGCGGUCACUAUUAUUGGGCUUAAAGCGUCCGUAGCCGGGUUGGGAAGUCCUCCGGGAAAUCUGGCCGCUUAACGGUCAGAAUGCCGGAGGAUACUCCCAGCCUAGGGAGCGGGAGAGGCCGAGGGGAUUCCCGGGGUAGGGGGGAAAUCCUAUAAUCCCGGGAGGACCAGCUGUGGCGAACGCGCUCGGCUGGAACGCGUCCGACGGUGAGGGACGAAGGCCAGGGGAGCAAACCGGAUUAGAUACCCGGGUAGUCCUGGCUGUAAACGAUGCGGACUUUGUGUCGGACAAGCUAUGAGCUUGUCCGGUGCCGGAGGGAAACCGUUAAGUCCGCCGCCUGGGGAGUACGGCCGCAAGGCUGAAACUUAAAGGAAUUGGCGGG
RNAcentral lists this ribosomal RNA (414 nucleotides) under uncultured microorganism. RNAcentral's name for it is "bacterial SSU rRNA". It matches the Rfam family "Archaeal small subunit ribosomal RNA", at positions 459 to 872 of the family's 1478-position model. The record is from RNAcentral.